RNAcentral lists this transfer RNA (73 nucleotides) under Arsenophonus sp. RNAcentral's name for it is "tRNA-Ala". It matches the Rfam family "tRNA". Rfam says of the family: Transfer RNA (tRNA) molecules are approximately 80 nucleotides in length. Their secondary structure includes four short double-helical elements and three loops (D, anti-codon, and T loops). Further hydrogen bonds mediate the characteristic L-shaped molecular structure. tRNAs have two regions of fundamental functional importance: the anti-codon, which is responsible for specific mRNA codon recognition, and the 3' end, to which the tRNAs corresponding amino acid is attached (by aminoacyl-tRNA synthetases). tRNAs cope with the degeneracy of the genetic code in two manners: having more than one tRNA (with a specific anti-codon) for a particular amino acid; and 'wobble' base-pairing, i.e. permitting non-standard base-pairing at the 3rd anti-codon position. Lineage: Bacteria; Pseudomonadati; Pseudomonadota; Gammaproteobacteria; Enterobacterales; Morganellaceae. The record is from RNAcentral.
GGGGCUAUAGCUCAGCUGGUAGAGCGCCUGCUUUGCACGCAGGAGGUCAGCGGUUCAAUCCCGCUUAGCUCCA